RNAcentral lists this ribosomal RNA (508 nucleotides) under uncultured bacterium. RNAcentral's name for it is "partial 16S ribosomal RNA". It matches the Rfam family "Bacterial small subunit ribosomal RNA", at positions 28 to 523 of the family's 1533-position model. The record is from RNAcentral.
GAUGAACGCUAGCUACAGGCUUAACACAUGCAAGUCGAGGGGAAACGACAUCGAAAGCUUGCUUUUGAUGGGCGUCGACCGGCGCACGGGUGAGUAACGCGUAUCCAACCUGCCCACCACUUGGGGAUAACCUUGCGAAAGUAAGACUAAUACCCAAUGACGUCUCUAGAAGACAUCUGAAGGAGAUUAAAGAUUUAUCGGCGAUGGAUGGGGAUGCGUCUGAUUAGCUUGUUGGCGGGGUAACGGCCCACCAAGGCGACGAUCAGUAGGGGUUCUGAGAGGAAGGUCCGCCAAAUUGGAACUGAGACACGGUCCAAACUCCUACGGGAGGCAGCAGUGAGGAAUAUUGGUCAAUGGGCGAGAGCCUGAACCAGCCAAGUAGCGUGCAGGAUGACGGCCCUAUGGGUUGUAAACUGCUUUUAUAAGGGAAUAAAGUGAGUCUCGUGAGACUUUUUGCAUGUACCUUAUGAAUAAGGACCGGCUAAUUCCGUGCCAGCCGCCGCCGUAA